GAUGAACGCUGGCGGCGUGCCUAAUACAUGCAAGUCGAGCGAAUGGAUUAAGAGCUUGCUCUUAUGAAGUUAGCGGCGGACGGGUGAGUAACACGUGGGUAACCUGCCCAUAAGACUGGGAUAACUCCGGGAAACCGGGGCUAAUACCGGAUACGACCUACGAAGGCAUCUUCUGUAGGUGGAAAGAAUUUCGGUUCGGGAUGGACACGCGGCCUAUCAGCUUGUUGGUGAGGUAAUGGCUCACCAAGGCGACGACGGGUAGCCGGCCUGAGAGGGUGACCGGCCACACUGGGACUGAGAUACGGCCCAGACUCCUACGGGAGGCAGCAGUGGGGAAUAUUGCACAAUGGGCGCAAGCCUGAUGCAGCGACGCCGCGUGAGGGAUGACGGCCUUCGGGUUGUAAACCUCUUUCAGCACCGACGAAGCGCAAGUGACGGUAGGUGCAGAAGAAGGACCGGCCAACUACGUGCCAGCAGCCGCCGUAA
This 486-nucleotide ribosomal RNA is filed under the name uncultured bacterium. RNAcentral's name for it is "partial 16S ribosomal RNA". It matches the Rfam family "Bacterial small subunit ribosomal RNA", at positions 28 to 523 of the family's 1533-position model. The record is from RNAcentral.